GAUGAACGCUAGCUACAGGCUUAACACAUGCAAGUCGAGGGGCAGCAUGAACUUAGCUUGCUAAGUUUGAUGGCGACCGGCGCACGGGUGAGUAACACGUAUCCAACCUGCCGAUGACUCGGGGAUAGCCUUUCGAAAGAAAGAUUAAUACCCGAUGGCAUAAUUCUUCCGCAUGGUAGAACUAUUAAAGAAUUUCGGUCAUCGAUGGGGAUGCGUUCCAUUAGGUUGUUGGCGGGGUAACGGCCCACCAAGCCUUCGAUGGAUAGGGGUUCUGAGAGGAAGGUCCCCCCACAUUGGAACUGAGACACGGUCCAAACUCCUACGGGAGGCAGCAGUGAGGAAUAUUGGUCAAUGGACGAGAGUCUGAACCAGCCAAGUAGCGUGAAGGAUGACUGCCCUAUGGGUUGUAAACUUCUUUUAUACGGGAAUAAAGUGAGGCACGUGUGCCUUUUUGUAUGUACCGUAUGAAUAAGGAUCGGCUAACUCCGUGCCAGCAGCCGCGG
Molecule: ribosomal RNA, 503 nt
Filed under: uncultured bacterium
Lineage: Bacteria
Description: bacterial SSU rRNA
Rfam family: Bacterial small subunit ribosomal RNA
Source: RNAcentral